This is a long non-coding RNA of Lactuca sativa (garden lettuce), 270 nucleotides long. RefSeq lists it as uncharacterized. NCBI's taxonomy places the organism in Eukaryota, Viridiplantae, Streptophyta, Magnoliopsida, Asterales, Asteraceae. The record is from RefSeq and is a predicted model, not a curated record.
AAGGAUAUUAGGGCUUUGAAGAAAUUGUUGUGCAAGGAGGAGAAGAGUUUUGGGCUAAAGGAACAGCAAGGGAUUCGAGUUCUGCGGUUUGGGGACACAGAGAGUGCAUAUUUCAGGGAGGUUGUAGCUCGUCGGAUUGUGCACGAGUGACUUCAGGAUUUGCUAGCUUUCAGCAUUUACGAGGUACUAGCGAGGACCGUGGGAAGGCGCCGGCAUGAUCGAUACACACUGAAGAAUGCUUUUAUGAUCUUGGGAUUUUGACUAUUUGUA